GCACAAGCGGCGGAGCAUGCGGAUUAAUCGAUGCAACGCGAAGAACCUUACCAAGGCUUGACAUACACCGGUAACGCCCAGAGAUGGGUGCCCCUUUGUGGUCGGUGUACAGGUGGUGCAUGGUUGUCGUCAGCUCGUGUCGUGAGAUGUUGGGUUAAGUCCCGCAACGAGCGCAACCCUCGUCCUAUGUUGCCAGCGGGUCAUGCCGGGGACUCAUGGGAGACUGCCGGGGUCAACUCGGAGGAAGGUGGGAUGACGUCAAAUCAUCAUGCCCCUUAUGUCUUGGGCUUCACGCAUGCUACAAUGGCCGGUACAAAGGGCUGCGAUACCGCGAGGUGGAGCGAAUCCCAGAAAGCCGGUCUCAGUUCGGAUUGGGGUCUGCAACUCGACCCCAUGAAGUCGGAGUCGCUAGUAAUCGCAGAUCAGCAACGCUGCGGUGAAUACGUUCCCGGGCCUU
RNAcentral lists this ribosomal RNA (457 nucleotides) under uncultured Cellulomonas sp. Its description in RNAcentral is "bacterial SSU rRNA". It matches the Rfam family "Bacterial small subunit ribosomal RNA", at positions 923 to 1382 of the family's 1533-position model. Lineage: Bacteria; Bacillati; Actinomycetota; Actinomycetes; Micrococcales; Cellulomonadaceae. The record is from RNAcentral.